RNAcentral lists this small RNA (601 nucleotides) under Pan troglodytes (chimpanzee). RNAcentral's name for it is "processed transcript". Lineage: Eukaryota; Metazoa; Chordata; Mammalia; Primates; Hominidae. The record is from RNAcentral.
UUUGUCAUGAGUCAGUAGGGAGUCCAGUGGGCUUUGGCCUGGGGGGCCCAUUUUCAAAUGUCUCCCUCUAUAGAAAGAGUGACCCACAGUUAGUGCCUUGGUGGUUUUUUGGCAAAAUCCCCAGAGCCAAGGCAGAAGAAAUGCUUAGCAAACAGCGGCACGAUGGGGCCUUUCUUAUCCGAGAGAGUGAGAGCGCUCCUGGGGACUUCUCCCUCUCUGUCAAGUUUGGAAACGAUGUGCAGCACUUCAAGGUGCUCCGAGAUGGAGCCGGGAAGUACUUCCUCUGGGUGGUGAAGUUCAAUUCUUUGAAUGAGCUGGUGGAUUAUCACAGAUCUACAUCUGUCUCCAGAAACCAGCAGAUAUUCCUGCGGGACAUAGAACAGGUGCCACAGCAGCCGACAUACGUCCAGGCCCUCUUUGACUUUGAUCCCCAGGAGGAUGGAGAGCUGGGCUUCCGCCGGGGAGAUUUUAUCCAUGUCAUGGAUAACUCAGACCCCAACUGGUGGAAAGGAGCUUGCCACGGGCAGACCGGCAUGUUUCCCCGCAAUUAUGUCACCCCCGUGAACCGGAACGUCUAAGAGUCAAGAAGCAAUUAUUUAAA